UCGUCAAAAAUUACAAUGGAAACUUUUCUUUUAUAAUUCGAUAAGCCAUCGAGUAAGAUAGAUGAUUAUCUUGGGAAAAAUAAAAUUUUUAAUUAAGAUACAGAAGAUAGAAUCGAUGUGAUAAGAUAAAUAACGAUUAUACUUCACUAUUCGAUUAAUUGCAACGAUUGAUCUAACGUCACUGAAAAUAAUGGCGAAACUAAAUUCCCCAGUCAUAGUGAAAUUCAUAGUGAAACUUCCCAUAGUGAAAUUUGAUUAAUCUUCCUGAUAUAAUUUCAUUUAUGUCGUUCAUAAUAUUCCAAUUCAAGAAAUACACAACGAGCGGACGCUCAUCGGUUAAUGCUACGGGGAUACAGCGGAGACUUAAUACGAUUAUUAAGAUUUGGCGAACCUCGAAUUAUAUGUAUACGAGUCGCAAAGAAAGCAGGUAGAGGUACGAUUGAAAUAUACAACGAUGGUAAACAGGUGACUUUUAUGCUCGUUAUUACCUUUGAACAACGAUUUCUGGCAUCUAUCUAUACAUAUACGCAAGGGUUGCGGAAAAAUUGCUGAAAGAUCAAUUUCCAUGAUUGCCCUAUGUCUAUCAACCAUACAGUCAUGUAAUUCUAUAAUUUAAGAAUAUUGUUUAAGCUUUAGAAGUCUUAUUUUUUAAGCCUUAAGAAGGAAUCUUAUUUCCAUUUUCGUUAUCGACAUUCCAAUAUUCCUUACACAUGAGUUGAAGAUAUACUCGAUGUAGUUUAAUGUAACGAAUAUGAUAAGCUAAAAUAAUAAUUUUGAUAUCGUAGAAAUAGAUAACUAUUAAACAUAAUUUAUGCUUAACAGACAUAAAACGUGAUAACGAUAAACACGAAACGACAAUAAUAAUUAACGCUAAAAUGAUUCUCACUCUAAAUCGCCCACUACUCACUUUUCACGCUCUGAAAAUUAUUGUUCUAAGCUAUCGACUGUAACUUACUGAUUUUUUUUGUGGUAAGUUUACACGUUUAACCUAAUGUUUUUUUUGGUACUUUUGAUGGACAAUAUACAGGAUAUAACGAUAGGUAUUACUUCUUCGAUAAUUUUAACGAUUUUUUUCCGGUAUAAAUAACGGUGUCGCAGACGAUUUCGACAAACAGAGGAAGAUUGCACAAGUUACAUACAUAGCAACAACAGACAUCAAGAACCAUGGAAGUCAUGAGAUUCUUACUUUGCGUUGCAGUCAUUUUUAUGAUUGCUUUCAUUUCAGCAAGCAAUGCGAACCCAGAGCCUAAUCCUUCGCCAGAGGCGGAUCCGGAAGCAGCUAACAUAAAGGAUAUAUUAGGAAAAAUAGGAAAAGUGUUGGCUCACUUGGGAUAAUCGACCCCAACGAUACGUGUACGACGGGUACAGGCACGACUACCGGCUUUUAAAUAUGACGAAUUUAAAUGCAUAUAUGUAUACGUAACUACGAAUGUAUACGAAACAUGUAAAAAUUAGCCAAAUAAAUUUUUUGUUGCUUAACU
Molecule: long non-coding RNA, 1481 nt
Organism: Bombus pascuorum
Lineage: Eukaryota; Metazoa; Arthropoda; Insecta; Hymenoptera; Apidae
Exons: 2
Source: RefSeq, a predicted model, not a curated record